GACAGCGAGAGGCACGUUGCACAUACAGUACAUAUACAAAAGCAUAUGCAGUCACAUAUAUUCACCCACACACACAAGAUCCCACUGCAGGUGAGCGGGGGUCCUUCGGCUGUUUGACAGGAGGCAGCGUCUCCCCGGAACAGCAGCUCCGGGUGGCGCACCAUCAUCAUCAUCAUCAUCAUCAUGAUGGUUGUGGUUGUUAGCGCGUCUCAGUCUCCCACUGGUCCCUGCAGCUGCAGCCGCUCCUCAUCAGUCGAGUUGAGGGCCCGACCCUUGUAACAACUCCCAUCGACACUGACGCCCGCCAGAAGCAGCCGCGGCCAGAAAGAAACGAGCGUGAAAGUGGGAUCAUUAUUAUUUUCAUAAUGUUGUUUUUUUGUGCGCUCAGUCGGACCCCUGGCGUACCGGCGCGCCGCCCCGCUGAAUUGUAAUGAACUCAGGACUGAAGAGAGGUGUUUUUCAUGAGGGCCGAGGAGACAGUCAGUUUUCAAAGAUGGCACGCAAGUUUAGAGGGUCAGUGCAGCCGAAUGACAAAAACUGUUGGCUCACUUCAAUUUCUUUUGUGUAGCCUAAAAUCACAAAUUAGCCUCAAAGGGCUUUAGAAUCUGUACACAUGCAACAUCCUCUGUCCCGGAAAGGUCACAUCGGCACAGCAAAACCUCACAUCUGGUCGUAUGUAACAAUGCAGAUUGGGUUGUACUAACAAGAACAUCCACCUCUGGAUUUCUGCCUUCAGUCCAACACAAUGUGUUGAAACAUGACUUGAAGAAAUAAAGAUAAUCUGAAUGUAUUAAAAGUAGUAUCAAGUAAAAAGUAUCAAAAGUUGCUGUUGAAUUCUUGGACGUAUUUUUAAGUUUGUUUAAGCUUCAGUUUUAAGAUGUUUUAAGAUUUCUGCCUCGACCUCGAUCUACUUAAGGUUAAUGGAAUGUAGAAUGCAUUAUGAAAUAAUCGCAGAGGCUGGGGACUGAAAAAUGAAAUGCAAAACAACGCUUUAGUGAUCUUAGCUUGGGGUAUUUGAAAGUUAAAAAAAUACGUAAUAAGUGUAAAUAUUCAUAUGAAUUCAAAGGAUGUGGGAAAACCCAAAUUUGCAUUCUCAGUCACACACAUAUGCGCACGUACACACACACACACACUCUCAUACACACACGCACAAACGAAGCACAAUCGUUUGUUGACCGGUGCAAAGAAAUGUGCAUGUUUGUAGCCGGCUACGAGGUCAGUGAUUUGAAUUAUAAAAAAAGUUGAUAUGACAAUAAAACCAUUUAUAGAUAUCAUUGGAAACUAUUGAUGGUAUCAUGUAACAUUAUGUGAUGUCGCGUUGGAUUUGUACAACCAAAGGUCGGACCCUCCCAUCUGCACUCCGACGCGUUUGAAUGUUUAGGAUAAAACGGAACCUGCCAGCAUUUUCAUUUCUGCGGGGGGGAAGUUACCGUCGGUGAGAUUCAUGCUAGUUUGGCUUUUAAAAUAUUCAAACCGUAUCCUCAUUACAAUUGUAUCUCUAUUCUCGUAAUUACAGAACGUUUGUCAAAAAAAUGGUAUCCUCCAUCUAGAGAACACAGAUAUGAGGGAAAUGUUUUGAACGUGUGGAUAUUGGGCUAAAAGUCAUACUGCUAAAUUCCACGGGUUAAUAGAUACAUCUCAGCAGAGGUGUCAAAAGUAUUCACAUUUAUUACUGAAGUAGAAGUACAGAUACUAGGGUUUAAAAAUACUCCUGUAGAAGUUGAAAUAUCGACUCAAGCUUUUUACUUAAGUAAAAGUAUAAAAGUACUGGUUUCAAAACUACUUAAAGCAUGAAAGUAAAAGUAAUGUAAGAAAUUCUAUUACGGACUCUUAACGAACUCUUAAUGUGUAAUCUCACUCACACAACACGUCAGUCCGUUACAAUGUGAUCAGAAGGCGCCUGCAGAUCACGUGACCUGCCGUUGGGAUGGUGGAAAUAACAACAACAACAAAUGUAUCUGACUUAAACAGAUAAAACCACAACCCAUUUUACAGUGACACGAGUCACACAGGUAGACUGCAGUGUCUCCCCCUGUUUGUAAUGGUGGGAAACACUGAACUGGCAGCAGUCGGUCAUCAAAACAUUGGCCAAAUAACCAGUAUGUUCAGGCUUUAUGAGCAAAUACAGAAUCCCUUUGUGUUCAUUUCUCAAGCCGCAUUAAGACACACAUCACUUUAUUUAAUACGCUGCUUGCAAGUCGCUGUGUUGUGCCAGACUCUCAAUCAAACAUUUAGGACAAACCCACGGUCAUGAAGAUACUCAUCUAACGUUACAUGGAAUCUGCGUGAGGAAGAGGAGGAGGAAGAGGAGGAGGGUCCAUGUCGCUAAAUACCAACUUUCCACCGACCACUUUUCCCACCCAGUGUCGAUCUGCGCAUCGCGGAGAAAAACAAUCAGGUGUCUGGAUGCUAAAUGUUUAUAUUCUCAUCCAACCACAAUCACAUUCACUCUGUCCGCAUAGCGCCAUUUAUCUGGAUGGGUUUUUGUCUUUGUGUUUUUGAACUGCGACAAGCUGGAAGAAACAAGGCUGUUUUUAAAAUGUAAGGAGUAGAAGUAAAAAGUCGUCUGAAAAAUAAAUACUCCAGUAAAGUAUAGAUACCCCAAAUUUCUACUUAAGUGCAGUAAUGAAGUAUUUGUACUUCGAUACUUGACACCUCUGCAUCUCAGCAAAUUCAUGUUUCCUACGUUAGGUGCCACAAGCACAUUUAAAGAGGUUAAAGACACGUAGGAGAAGAGUCGUGUGGUUACUAACAAUAUGUGAGGAAAGUCAAUCUGCAGGGAAUACAUAUUUGAAAGUGAAACCAAAGACUUUAAAGCCUUCCUGUUUAAUAUUUCGUUGUUUUUCUUUAUUUCGAAUUGUCACUUGGCGUCGGAAUGUUGUGUUUUCAUUUAAAUAAAUAAAGACAUUCACACUAUGAAUCAAUGCAGAAAAAUUCCCCAUAAUGCAGUAAAUUACGUAGUGUUUUUUUUAACGCUAAACACACUCUUGCUGGAUAGAAUGUUCUCUUGAAGUCAACCCUACGAGCACCACACACACGACCUCCGUCCCUUUCCCGGCAUCGGGGUGGAACUAGAAACCUCAGACGUGGAUCUCUCAUAACAUCAAAUAAAACCCAAACCAUCCUCAUGGCUUGAGACCACGGGAGGAAAUGUAUUUUUCAGUGUUUUAGGCGAACCCACCCCGGGCCCCCGGGGGGCCGCGCUCCUGUGUUUUCAGAGCGAGUGUGAGUGGCACGUCUCAUUAAGGGCCGAGCGGCGGCGUUGUCUGCGAGGGUACAUCGGUCCGUCUCUGUGGGAUGUUUAUUAAAUUAAUAAAAAGUGGCUCAAGGCGAGCGGUAGCGGGGAAAGCCCGGGGCUCGGCCGUGAUUGGCACUCUCCGCCGCCCCGCGCUCUCCCUCCAGGGUCCGCACGCGUUUGCUUUAACUAACUGACCGUGACUGAGGAGAGAAGGCUGACAUGAAGCCCCCCCCCCCACUCCCCUUCUUAUCUGCCGGUCUGCCUGAGCCCUGUUUGCUUUGAGGGGGGUGGGGGGGUGUACAGGAGCUCAGUGAGACCUGCAGCAGUGUCUUGUUUUCUUGUUACCGUUGACUACAUCUUUUGAAAUGGAUCAAUUUGCCAAGCGGGAGAGGAAUGUGAUUGGAUGGUCGCCGGGCGGACAGCAGUAAGAGCACUCGGCCGUUAGAGCGAAGCAGCAGACAUUUUUUGUUUGUGCGAAGGUGUCCGCCAUGAACAGUUUGUGAAUACCUUUGACGACGCAGGCUUGUGCUCUUCUCUUUAGGUUGGGGGGGGGGGGGUGGGGGCAAAAUCCUUGUUUGAACCCCCCUCCCUCAGUGGGUGUAAGACCAACAAGCUGCGAGCUCAAGAGGUUUCACAUCCUUUAUCUUCAACCUGUUCAGUUCUCCACAUGCGGCCCUGAGCAUGGAAGCAUUUUUUUCUGCCAAGCUAGUCGCUCAGUGCCUGGUCGAUGUGAUGGUGAACUCCACAGGGGGGCUGAACAGGCUAGUGGACAUAAAGGAAAGAGAGGACCACGCGGGGCGGGGGUCGCCUGAGAGUGAUCGGAGGCUCCAGAGGGGCCGAUGAGUCUUGUUUGUGCGCAAGAAAAAAGAAUUUGUCAUUAUACAACCGUUUCUCACAAACACUCUAUUUAGACUACCGGCAUUAUGUUCCAAUUAAACACAAAGGGAAAAAGUCAGGCUUUUCAAACUGUUCAGAAAAUCUGCAUAUCGCCUUUCAGGAAAAAAACAAAAACAAAGGGAAAAAUUAAAAUAUAUUAUCAUCUUUUAAAAAUCCUUUUAAAAAUAAACAAGACAAACACAAACAAAACACAACAAAAAAGCCCCACUCUGUCUCUUCCACUUUAUAUCUCCCUGUCUCUCUCACUCUCUGCAGCUCGGCUGGGCGACUCUCGGAGGACACGGCGAGCUGAGACAACUCAUUUGCAUAUAAACUGGGAGAGGCAGGGAUUGUCAUCGGCGGCACAUUAGACGCAAGGAGCGCGAGGGGAGAGGAUUUUCAUGUGCAAAUUUCAGCCUCGCCAACUCUGUGCAUUAUUAUUUCAUCAGAGCCGAAGAAAAGGAAGCCCCUCCGAUCCCCAAAAACCGCGCCAUCAUCCCCACGGACACUUGGAGAGUCGGACCAAAUCCCCCGGCCGCGCCUCUCCCCCCAGAAGGCCCCGCUACUGAGUAGCUGUUUACAGCGGGGGGGCCCCGCGCAGCAGGAGGAGGAGUCAAUCUGCCUCCGAGAUAAGAGCCGAAACCACAGGAAAGAGGGAACAGAUAUACACCAGUUGUGACCAGCAGUAUUGGUGUUCCGUGCAUUAAUUGCUUGUAAACUGCGAGGCUGGAGGCUCGCCGGCUUUUAAGUUUAAAAAGGAGAUUACAGCCAAUUAGCGGGGCCUCUGAAAACCCCUCGCUGCCUGGGGAAUAGCGGCUGAUCCCUAAUGUGGGACAGCUGUGAGCAACAAAAGAACAGUCGCGGUCCUGCUUUUGAGAACGCACUCGCACGCGGAGCACUUUCAAAAAUACACACACACACACACACACACACACACACACACACACGUGUAUAAUCUCACAUGCAAACAGGAAAAUAGAAAAAAGGCCCAAUGGUAGCACUGGCUGCUAAGAAGCACUAUUACGAGCAUGAAAAAUGAAUGAGUGCAUAAAUGCGAGCGUCGCCAAACUGACAUGAAGUACGUUUGCAUGUUCCCAAAGUGACAAAGCGGGAACAGACGCGGAGGUAAAUAUGUUUUAAAAGGUGAGGGGGAAAACGUUUGUGGGUUGGGAAAACGUAUUUCCUCCCUUUAAAUCAAUUUGUCAGCUUCUUCUUAGAGACGCGUUAGCAAAAAAAAGAGCCGAGUGUUUCCCUGUAAACUGCCAUCUUUAAUUUCUUUGUCUGACGUGCUCCGCCGCACCACAACGCACACCAGAGACCGAGCAUGAGGUGAGCGAAAGGUUCAAAGCCCAGAUGGGAGCGCAGCCUGUGUACCCCUGAGCACGGUGGAUUACCUCAUUCACUCUCAUGUCAAACAGAAGGCAGGAAGAGGAGGAACACAAGUCAAAGGAUCUCCACAGGCUGCGUAAUCUACGACGAUUCGUGCCGAGCCCGCAGCGCGACUCCCGUCUUCCCCUCUAUCUCUUCUCGCUUUUUUUUCCCGCCUGUGUACCUUCUCUGUCAUGCUCGCUGUGCACCUGCACAUCUUCAACUGCACCCUGACAGCCCCCCCCAGCCCCCCCGCGCCCCUCGUACCCGCGCACACAUUAGCGUAAAACUGUUGUCAGCCAACUAGCAACUUCAGGAUGACGCCGCGUGGACAGAACAUGGAUUCCACGAGCUGUUUUUUGGUCUUCAAGUGUCAAAGAUAGCUUCAUGAUGGCAAAAUGUUUUGUUUUUGUUAAACCUGGUCUGCUUGUAAAGAAAACGUGUAACUUGUAACUUUGUAACCCAUGUAACUUAAGGGUAAGGUAGAUGGUUCAUUCUGUUCUUGGGAAAUCGGUCGUGUUCCAACCAGAACAUUGGUGGAACACGACCGAUUUCCCAAGAACAGAAUGAACCAUCUCGUCCUCAAAGCUACAGCCUGAAGUAGAGCGACUCCAUUCACUUAGACAGCAAAUUAAUAUUUUCUGCUGAUCCUCUCAUUAAGAACACUUUGCAGACUCAUUCAACAAAGAAUAUAAACACUAAUUGUUAAGAUAAGAAACAGAGUUGGGACUCAGGCAGUGGCAUCUCUUUCCAACCAUGACACUUCCAUCACCAAACGCUCGCUUGUGCAAAUGUGCGGUGCUCAGGGGGGUAUUUGUUUAUAGCGUGACCCUCUCAGUAAGGUCAACAGCUGUUUCCAGUCGGGCUUAGCGGCGACAUCGCCAUCCUUCGCCUUUUAAUGUGUCGCAGUUAACCGCGUUGUAAUUAGAACUAAUGACUUGCUCUCCGGCUAAUUGGCUGCGUGAACUGUGAGCAGGGAAACGCCACAAGGAGGGCAGAAAUAAAAGAAAACCAUAAUAACAUGGAAGUUGUGAAGCGGGCAGAGGCUGACCGAAGGAAGCCGCUAACCUUCUUAUCAAACAGCAUUUUUAAUUAGAGAUAAUCAAUAUUCAAGGCAAUGGAUUCACCACAGUUUAUAUAUCCAUCAAGGAUCAUGAAUACUUAAUGCUUUAAAAAAAAACAUAUCAAACCCCAACAUACCCAAAUUUUUAUUCCCCAAGUCUGUGGUAAUCUAGCAAAUCAGAUAUUAUUAAUUAUAAAUUGAACCAUUACAGCACGCUUCAGAAGCUCACGUUCACAAAUUGCAUCGGCAUCUGGGGUUGAACAUGAACUUGCUCUCCUGAUAUUUCCAAAGCUCGUAUGCAAAGUCGCUGAGUCUGAUUCACAUGCAGGGUCCGUUCUGUAUCCUGUAGUUCCAUUUAGAUCAAAGACUCAAGUAGACACAGAAUCACAGGAUAUCCAGAAUAUCUGAUCAUUUCCCCCCACUUCACCUUGCUUCUGAGCAUCUCCGCGCUCCAGAGAAGAUCUCAUUAAAUCACAGAUGUAAGAAUCAGGGAGAGAAAUACACAACAGACACAUCCCUGCUAUUGUCUCUGCUAUGAGGCCCGGUGAAUCCAGGUGAAUCCAGGUGAAUCCAGGUGAGGCUGUUUGACGAUCCUCCGCGUUACAGAACGGCGGACGCCGAGUGGAAGCUUCCGCGGUCACAAUAACGAAAUGAAAAGUCCUUCCUGGGAUUUAUUCCCUAAAAACACACCUGGACACCACUGGAAGCUGAAGCCUCUCAGGAGCCGGAUAUGAAACCGUGCAGCCCGAGGACAAGGCGAGCAAAAGGCAUUAAAAUAAAUAAAGAUGUAAAAAAAAAAAAAAAACAUGCCCCCAAACCACUCUUACAGACACAACAUGGCAAACAGUGGAAAACAAUAGAGUUAUUUCAGCGCAGAGCAGUAGCGCGAUGGCAUCCUGGGGCACAGGGCUGCAGGGUGAGGCGGGGGCCUCCCGGGCGGGGGUGGAAGCAAGGGUGCUCUAAUGGGCUCGGGGAGGCUGGCUGGCCCUGCUGGAUGGCCCACAGGAGGCCCUAGCCUGUGGUCUUGCCUUGGGCAGGCCUGCCACAGCAGCAGUCAGGUGGGCUAACAGACUGAGGGAGAGGAGGGCCUCCCCAUGUGGCCUGCCAUCAACCCCCCACCCCGACUACGCCCGCCAAAAACAUACCCUCCCUCUGGUAAAAUGUCAAGGGUCGGGGAACAACAAGCUGUGCAGAAACAAAACAAGAUGUGGAUUUAACAUCUCCAUGUUGCAUCUUGAGUCGAUCUGUCCUGGUUUUACAUUCAGACUGAAUGUGUCCGUGUCUCUGAUGCCGGAUGAGAAGUGAAAAGUCUGGGUUGAAGUCAAUGGUCAUUUACUGAAUUAAGCAUUGGCACGAGCUCUCUGAGUCCAACAUUAUUAAUGUAUUUUUUACAAAUCUGCAGCUGUGCUGAGGAGUUACUCUGCGCUCAUACCGUCGACCUUUAGCCCCAACGCUCCCUGAAGCCCCAUAUCCGUAUAGCCAUGUAGUAGGUAGGAGGUAAAGAUCAGGGCGGCCCGACCCCCAGAGCCCCUCCUCCUCACCGGCGAGGCGUGUGAAGCCUCGGACACGACUCUCGGCACGGGAAAACAGCAGCUUCUCUCACCGCUGAAGGUGGCACAGAGGUAACCAUCAAAGAGUUAGUUUGCGGCGCUCCGGGGAAGAGGAGGGGACGGAGAGGGAAGAGGACUUCGGCUCUCCCGAGUCAGAAGGGAGGUCGCUGCGAGGCCGUGUUUACAGAGCCCGCUGAUGUGUGCUGCUGUUUUAACAUCUGGAAUGAAGCACCGCAGCCAUCACUGCAGGCAAAGUAGUCUGUGUCCUGUGUGUGUGCAGUUAUCCCAAAAGUCUCAGAGAUGAUACUUUAAAAGGUAUUUGCAUUAUUUCCUGCAUAGUGAGGUGAGGGUCAGUGUUUCCCCGGAGAAUGUAGACAUCUCUGCACAAACAGCUAAAUACUUUAUACGAUAAGGCAGCAGGAGAAUAUUUGGUUUGCUGACGGCCCCAAAAACUGUGUUUUUCUUUUGCAAGAGACAUUUUGGUUCAACAAAUGUGAAAAUUGAUUCAGAACUGAUUUGCCCUAUUUACGCUGGUUUCUUUCUAUGAAAUAAACCUAAGUGGUCAACAAGAGCUGCUCUCAAAUAGAUGCAGUGUUUUUCAUAAUUUGAUCAAUCUCUGAGCAUUUCUCUUAUUUAUUGAUAAAUGUCCUGAAUUAUUGAUGGACGAUUGCUGCGAGUUCACCACUACACCCUCCCACACAGCUGGCUUUAACAGGUGCUCAUUAGAGAAAGGUCAUGAAUAUCAGACAGACGUGUGCAUCGUAUUCACCAAAAAAACUAAACGUUGCAUUAUAACGUCAGUGUGUCAUUGACCUCGGCCCGAAUCAAAGCACGUGUGUGUGUGUGUGUGUGUGUGUGUGUGCCGCAGUGUGUCUCAAAAGAUCUGCUCUUAAACGACACAGCGUCUGCCAGUUAGGACGAGGAGAAAAUCGCUCUGUUUUGAACUAUGUGGAUAUAAAAAAAAUAAAAAACAACAACAAACAGUUGGCACCCCUUUAACAAUCAAGAACAAUAAAUGCGCAGUUAUUUCUCUCGGUGGCGGCGAUGUUUACAGACCUGCUGUGCUUCUCCUGUUUCUACAGACCAGUUAACCCAUAUUUCAAAACACUCGACUGAAAAUAGAAAAACAAAGUCAAACUAUGCCAUAUCACGGGUGUCAAGUGAAGUAUGAUUGCAUAUUUGAAUUGGAAAUCUGGCAAAGCGACGAUAACAACCCCGUGCACUCUCUCGGAUGGCGCGAAGAGGGUUAAGUGAACAAAGCCUUGAAAAAGAGUCCAAUCCUCCAGCUCCUGCCCCGAUCCUCGCAGUUACCCCCACAAAGUACACAAGAAAAAAGAAAAUAGCAUCAUGCAUAUCAUUCAUUAGCAGCAAAUAAAAGAAAUUCUCUCUAAUAGUGCCCCCAAAUCCCCGAGCUCCCAGCACCGCGGAGCGGGGAACUAAAGAAACGGGGGGGAGAGGGAUGCAAAAGGAAGCCGUCUCCCUCAAGUGCUUGUUAGGCCCAAAUUAUUAUGGCGAUGAAUAAUUUUAAAAAUAAAUAAGAAAAAUAAUAAAUAAAAAAAAGGGAAACAUUUAUAGAUCUAAGUAUUAUCAGAGGAGCCGCGGGUGUGUUGCCAAGCUCUCUGGGCCCGUUUGAAAUCCGCCUUUGUUUUUCACUUUGAUCUUUAACUGCUAACCUAUCCACCGCUUCACCUGAUCCCCCCGUUAGCGCUCCCUCACCCGCUUCCUCCCGUUCAACUCUUCCACGCGUGGCACGCCGCUGCCCACAUUAAGUGGUAAUCAUCAUCAUCAUCAUCAUCAUCAUCAUCGACGUCGUAGUCAUCAUCCCCACCAUCAUCAUCAUCGUUUUUUGCAUAGUUCUCGUCAUUAACUUUUGCUUUUCUUCCACAACAAUAAUUAACAUACUGCAGUGGGAGCAGCAGCGAGGCGUAAAUGAGGGAGUACAGAGGAGCGUGAGCAAAGGGAAGAGGGAAGCCAGCCAUGUUGGGGGGGAAGAAAGAGAGGAAGGAGACAUGUGAGGAGAGCUGCGACCAGCUCAUCUUGGCUUGCUUCCCCUCAACUUAUUAGGAUUUCCAGCGCUUCCCUUUCCCGUUGGAAUAGAAUCAGAAACAGAAUCCGGUUUAUUGUUUCAUGUUUCUAUUCAUCUCGUUUCCUCUGUGCUCAUAUGCUUACUGUAGAUCUUCUCCCCCGUUUCUUCUUUCCUCUCUUCUGGUUUCCUGUACUAGCACCCUGUCCCAGCUCAUGUACUUUCCUUUACUCGUUUUAUUUGGUAUAUUGCUUCCUUCUCUUCUGGUUUCCUCUAGUUUCACUUUCUCCCUGUUGUCCACUUCUCUCUCAUCUCAUAUACUUCCUCCCUCACUUAUCUUUUACUUGCCCAUCUCCUCGUUUACUUCUUUUAGUCUUGAUUCCUCUCAUCACCAAUAUUUGCUGCAUCCCCUUAAGGCUUCUUUUCUUUCUUCUUGUUGUAUUCACUCAUUUCUUUUUAGAGUUCUACGAUUUUCUUUUUCUCUCUGCAGAUGUUCAGUCCAUUCAUCUGAUGUCCUUUCCAUUUGGAUUUCUUGUUUCCUCUUUUCUCAUAGAUAAUUAUUCGGCAAUUAUAUUCCUCUUGCCUUUUGUGUCCUUCCCUUAAUCUCAGAACGGUUUCAUUUAUGUCCUCUUUUUGUAUGAUCUCAUUUUCAUUCCACUUUUCGAUAUUUCACUGGGCUCCUGUUCUUCUUUCCUUAUCAACCGGUCUCCUCUCACUGACUUUCAUCUCCUCUUGCUGCUUUCAUAUUGUUCCCUUUCCACUCAUUUCCAAUACUUUUACCUAUUUUGCCGCUUACCUUUUGUCCAACCAGCUUCCUCCUUUCCUCUUCUCUUAUUUCAUAUCGUACUUUAUCUCCCCUUACUUCCUCUUUAAUCGUUUUCCUCUUUAUUCAUCUCAUCACUACUUUCUCUACUUUCUUCACAUUGGUUUCCUUUGUUUUUGGGGCUCAUUUCUUCCAUUCUUUUACAAAAAUGUCUCUCCCCACCGUCUCCUCCCGGGGUUUCUGACCUCCAGUGCAGGGACAUCCCAACCGUGCGCUCUGUGCCCGGUCUCUGAUUGAUAUUGUAAUGAGAUUUAUCCCAACAUCCCUUCUUCCCUGUACACUUCCCCACCUCCCUCCUCUCCUGGUGCCCCUCAACCCCCCUCUGCUCCCUGAGCCCCCGAGUGGCUCGCUUCAUUCUGUUUCAUCACACAUCAAACAGGCCUGACGCGCUACGCAGGCAGGGACUGCAACAUCUGCACGAGGAAGCAGGCAGGGGUCUGGUGUGUGUGUGUGUGUGUUCUCCGGCCUCUGAGGGAGGGUGAGGGGUGGGGGAGGCCACGGCGUGCUACGAGCAGAUGUCACCAGUACCCGAACAGCAGGCUGGGGGGACGCCGUGGGGAAGGAGAGACGUAGUGAGGGACCCACCCCUGCAGCCCAGCCUGGGGAGUCUCUCCGAACACUCAACCUCUGCUCCCCUCUCCUCACCUCGCAGCGCAACCCCCCUCCUUCCCCCCUUUCUUGCAACAGUACAAUUAGGUAAUUAGUCACCUCCGCACUAAUAACCUUAUUAUUACUUGUCUGUCUUUUUCAAAAUCAGUGUCCUCCACAGUUGCUCCCCCGAGUGCUGACGCAGAGGUGGAGGUGCAGAGGAGGCGCACAAUUAACUUUGUCUGGCUGCUCCCCGUGGCACCGAGAGAGCCCCGGCUCUGAUCCAGACCAAAGCAAAGGCCGCUUUUCUUUUAAUGGAGACAGAGAGUCGGCUCUUUGGAGGAGGUCAAGAUCGCUCUCACAUCCAUUAACACCACAGCUAUUUCAUCAGUGCUGCGUUCUGGCAGGCGGCAGCAGCAGAGGGACUGGGAUCAUCAGCCUCUGCUGAGCGCAUCCGCUGACAUUUCCCCAGUUAGUGGAAGUGGCAAUUGGGAGCUUUCGCUGUCAAUGAGUCAUCAAAGAGCUUGUUUGAGAACAGCUGUUGACGUCAGUGCACUGCCAAAAGCAUUAACCCUAGUUGAGAAGUGAAGUUUUUUUUUCUCCCCCCGAAUAGCUGAUGAUCCUUUCAUCUGCAUGGGCAACAUGCACAUGUCAAAGUUCACACAAAUGUUAUCAGUCGUCAAAAAGGGUUCGUCUUUUGACAGCAUUUUUUAGUCUUAGGAGAGGUUGAGAAGAUCAUAAUCAUAAGAAUUUUUUUUUUUUUUUAUGUUUUAUAUUUUACAUUACAAACGUUAGUCGUGAUUUUACAACAAUGAACAGAAAAUUAUUUUUCUUUAUUCUUUAAGUAAACAAACUGGACAUUAAUAUAACUUUGGACCAAAGAGGUGGACCAACCAAGAGAAGGUAAUUCAGCUCUGAAUGGAAACAUGAUGGGAUAAAGUCAACAUGUAGAGCGCUGAAAGAUGUUUUGAUGUUCCUAAUUUGCUUACGAAGACUUUUGAAUAGAGUAACUUAGGAAGUUUGGCCUUUAGUUAGUUGGCAACUUGCACGAUUAUGUAUUUGUAUCUGUGUAGCAAAUUUGAGGUGGAUAAAAUAGAUUUAUCAAACAGCACAUGGAAGGUGAGAAGAAAGAAAUGUCGGUUUGAAUAAGCAAUAAUAACUGAUAAAACAUGCAGAAACAUCGGCCCCGUCUGUCAGCUGACCACAUCUACUUUUUCCAAACAAUCCACAAACCGCAGCGGACUACAAGUCCCCCAGCAGCCAUAAAACCAGCCUCGCCCACUCCUCAUAAUCCCGUCUCGUGUUUUUAUGUUUGUGGGCUCCGAAUGCCCCGCUGUGCUCUUAGCGACAGCCGUCGCGUCGCCCUCUUUAAUAUUCAGACGUCUUCCAGCCAAACAGCUGGUUUGCAUGGCAGAAUGAACGAGAACCCGUCGCGACUCCUGACAUUCGGGAGGCAGGUAGAAGGACCGAGGACUUGAAUCACGGUUGCUGUUGAAAGCUGACAUCGCAGUCCCCCGGCACAGCAAUGAAGACAGCAGACUCCACUUUUUAAAUGUACUGUGGGGGGUUGUUAGCGGGAAAGUCUUCACAUUCGUGUACAACCACACUUGUGUAUAAAUUACAAUGAAUAAAACAUCUACACUUCAUAUGCAUGGAUUUUUAGCCAAGGAGACACACGUCGAAGCUCAGAGAGGGAGAAAUUAAUCGCUGCAGCCAGUAACAAUGUUUCUCCUCCAUAGCAAACUGCUGCAAAUAGAUUCCACAAGCAGGCGCGUGGUCGGCGGCAGCCGUUAUUGGACGCAGCGGAAUGCAUUGCUUUUGCUCGACGGCGGCGCUCGUGCACUUUAUCACGGCCCGGUUAAUGAGCGGUAACUUCCCUGCGUCUGCGGGAAGCAAGUCCGGCAGCGCAGCCCACAUGCAUUUUUUAUUACUCAGAGCUUGUUGAUAUUUCCCAUUUGUUUCAUUUGGGAACAUUUGCAUGGGCUAAGCAGAGGCCCGCUGCAGGGCUCACCGGGCCACGCUGCCGUAAAUUACAGGCUUCCAGCUGUCCAACAAACCGCAGCAAUUGCUAAUGGCUAGAGAGGUCAGCGGCAUCCUUUUCGACAUUCGGCCUGUUGUAAACUCCCCGGGGAGGCUGCUCUGUCCAUUUCAAGUCUCUGAUCAAACCUUGUGAAACGUCGCAAAUUACCAUCAACACAGUUCUCUUUGCAGUCCUCUGGGUCUGCUCGUCUGACAGAACCUCAAAAGCUACUCUGCAGAUAUUUACACGUGGUUUAAAGUUUGGGACGGAUUUCAUUUGGUUCUAGACGAAUCAUCCUGUAUGGGCCACACACAUUUAGUGAAUGGACUACAUGGCAUGUUUCUAGCGCGCGCGCACACACAUGCACACACACAGAGACACACACACACACACACACGCACACACACACUGACAGUGUCAGGAGCCGAUUGGAUUGUGCAUGUGGACAGGAGGAGCCGAGGAUCGACUCACUGACCCCAAAACAAAGGCUCUAUCUCCUACCUUAAUUUAAUUUUGAUCAAAUAAUGUAUUAAUUAAGAAAUAACUUUCAGAUCUCCUUAACUUUUUGAGUUUGCUCUACUGGUAUGACAAUAUUUUCCUAUAAUCUGUUACCCAUUCACAACUGCUUCCUAAUUUAAGUGGCAUAUGCCAGUCUGCUAUAUACAUUCCAAGUCUUCCAAAAUCAUCCGCUUGCCUUACAAAUUAAGUCUUAAUUGUCUUUAAAACGGUUGUUAACAAAGUAGUCUUUGUGUGACACAAAAUGAAGUACAUCUUUAAUCUAAUCCGUGCUGGCUUGUUGAGAAAUAAAGCAUGAUUUUUUCUCUUCUAAUAUUCAAACAAAUGCAAUUAAUGAUAAACAUAUCUAAAAUAUACUGAACCAUUGUCAAGUGGUCUGAGGCCCAAACAGUGAGGCCUAAGAGUAAAAAAAAGAUAAUUGCAUUGUGUAGUACUGUAUUGUGCGUUUCUGUGCCACUGCACAAUCAAUCCUAAUUAGCAGCAGCUGUGAUCAAUCACUGCUACAGUGUUGAGCUGGAGAUGAAGGGCUGAAUAGCAAUACGUCCGCGACAGGACAGGGCUGAUUGACAGGCAGACUUCUAACCCGAUCGCAGCGCCGAGACCAGGGUGGCUGCUUCCAGGUGUCUCAGAUUUGUGGUAAUUGACAGGUGCAGGGAGACGUUCUGGGGUCCUGGUGGAGCUCGGCGCCGUUUAUGCAGAUUAACACGUCAAAAGUACAAAUGAAUAAAUAAACUGGUGCGCAGAAAUCAGGCAUUUAGCCUGAGGGGACGCCAUCAUUACCAGAUUAAACAAAGUGACUAAUCACAAAAACAAUCCGCCUCAGAAGUGGAGGAAGUCAAAAGACGGCAAAAGCUUAGGGGUAAAAAGCUAAGUCAUCGUAAUUAUUCAGCUAGCGACAAACAAAGAUAUGAAUUCAUAAUGAAUGGAGCAGUGACGGAUAAUUCUUUAUUUUCCAACAGCUAUUGUAGAUUAAGAAGCAGAAGGUGAAUGCUUUGAUGAAAGAGACAGUUCUCGACUUUCUACAAUCAUUUACAUAAAGGACGUAUAGGAGAAUGUUUUUGACGAGGGAACAAUUGCAAAAUUCAAACCCAAAUUGAGGCUUGAGGGGAGUUCACAGAGAUGGCACAAAUUCCCAAAGCAGCCAGCGAGCGCGGGUACCUGAAGCAGAGGCCUUGUGGGAAUAGUUUGGGUCAGUCUAAAGAUGAAUGGGGGGGGGGGGGGGGGCGCAACGGAAAACAAAAAAACGAGCCCCACACUGGGGGUUUGGACACUUAAAAAGAAAAUCCUUCUUCCUUAAAAACCCAAAUGAGCGGAUGUGGGGUCCUCGAUCCAAGCACACGCCCCGGCCGCAUGCCCAUAAUUUAAGUCUUUAGAUAUUCAAGUCUGAGCCAGGACUGUUUUUUUCCCCUCAUACUGACCAGAGCAGCCGUAACCUCAUUUUGAACUUCCUUCACUCCUGGACACAACGCUGCUGUAAAACACAUCGCUUCUCUUAAAUUGGCCUAAAAGCGCCGCUGGUUUCCAGACUUCCCUCCACGCGGCACUAACCCCGGACCAAGCAUCCGGCACCGAACCCUCGCCUAUGGAUUUUUCCAACUAUCUGUUUACUCCUCGUCUGCACACUAUCCCAGCUGCUUGGAGAGCAUCGUUUGCCCCGAGGCGAUCAGCAGGGCUGAGCUUGUUCCAGUCUUUGAUCAUCGUUCAGCCAGCGGAUUAACAUAUGCACGCUCUCUUCCUCCCUUUGUCGCUGAGCUUCAUAGUAAAUCUGCGGCCUUCCUUCCGUCUCUCUCCUCCCCGUCUCGCUCUAAUAUGGGACGAACCAUGAAUCAAUCACGCCGCUUUACGCCUCGUGUCCGACACGGAUGCAAAUCACAGAAGGAUCUGUGGGUAAAGCUCUGCUUAUUAAAACCCGAUGCCUCUCAUUACUACCCGCUCGUGCACAUGCAUGUCGCCAAGACGAACAGCAGGUAGCCGGCGUGAAAUACAGCAACAUCGGUGGAGAUAAAACACAGACAGACGAGAUUAACCGAUUUCUGCGAUUCAUCUCGACGGAGGCCAAAGCUAAGCCUCACCCACUUUGCCAAAAGUAAAAGGGAAUCGAAAGCUAAUAAAGCUAAUUACCGCUUCAUUGUAGGAGGUUACAGCCUCGUCUCAACGAGGCUUAAGUCUCAGGGAAAGCGGCGGUGAUGAGGCUCGCCUUCGUACCUGCUCUCAAAGUGCACUAAUUACAGUUUGGUUUCAGCCUACAACCCCCCUCAGUUAGCUCGCUUAAAGGGACGGGCAUCUGGGGCUUAGAACUACACGCAGAAGGACUCUGCAAGUAGGACACUGACUAAAUGUGCGUCGGAGAAAGUGUCUAUUUCCCAGUAGACAGGUGACUUUUUUUCUUCUUUAUUGAAAUGCAACCUAUGUGGUUCUCUAAUGGCCACUGUUGAGACACCACCCCCCCAGCUCUCCUCUCUUAUUUAUUACAACCUAAUUAUAUCAGCGUGUCAGCUAACGUAAGCAGCUCCUUGCCCUAAAUGCCGCCAGGCUCCCGAGUCAGUUCUCCCUGUGUUUUCCAAGGCGUGUACCAUUUAACCACGGCUCAUUGAGGCACACAGGGUUGUUUAGCCUGCACCCCCCCCACCCCCCACCCCCAUCUUCCCCCCAGUCAGUCCAUCAAGAAUGGAACGCACACGCGAUGAAUAAAAAUACAGUAACAUGAGCUGAGGUCUGGCAAGAGGAGGAGGAGUGAGUCUCCGACGGGUUCCCCCCCCCGAUCAUCAUGAUCGGUGUGUCGGCCUGGGCAGGCCGGCGAGGGGCCCUAUUAAAAAACCCUAGCCCAGCUUGCCGGAAAAGACCUGUCCUCUCACCUCUGAAAACAACAACCCUGCACGCCCCGACAGCGAGACAAUCAACCGUGCGCUGCUCAGGGUGAGGCGGCGGUGACCCGGCGUGCCAAGUCGAGGCCGGUUCUACACACUGAUGAGUGCUUUCGCAGACUUCAAACGGGGGAGGGUGGUGCAGCAGACCUCCCGACGACCUGCUUGUGCUGCCUUGUCUCCUGCUCUCUGCUUUUAUUUGAGGUUGAUACGGGCAGACGGAUCGGCAAAUAUCGAUCACGGAGUGCUCUGUAAAAUUCUCCCUGCAGGAUUGAGAGGUGAUUACAGGGCCUGGACCCAGCUGAUGCAGACUGUGUGUGUGUGUGUGUGUGUGUGUGUGUGUGUGUGUGUGUGUGUGUGUGUGUGUGUGUGUGUGUGUGGGAGUGUUUGCAUUUAGGUUUUUCCUAUCCUACCUGUCAGACAGGCCAAAGACAGAAACACAAUAUUCUUUCAUUCGAGUGUCUCCAAUCAUCUGCAGAAGAGAGACAUCUUUAGAAAAGAGAAAAAGCCCCCAGACAGACAGGCAGGCACACCGUACAACACAGAAAAUAGGUUAUAAAGGGCGGGGAAUAAUGCAUGUGAAUCUCAACCAUCGAAAUUCAAAUGAUUUGGAUGCUUCCCCAACCAGCCCUCCUCUCCUUGUCUGCUUUCUGUCGCGGCCUCAGAACUCACCAAUAGGAUGGGAGGGGAACGGGCUGCAGAUUCAGAGGGUUUGCAUUAGGAAUGGCCCGUUAUUAAUUAAGCUUGUGGGGAAGAGUUUUUUUGACAGCGGCUCCCGAGACAGCAAGCGGUGUGGAUCUUGGCGCUGACCUGGCCCAGCAGGGGUAGGAGCCGUGUCUUUGAGGUGGUGGCGGGGUGGAGUGGGGGAUGAC
Molecule: long non-coding RNA, 17801 nt
Organism: Gasterosteus aculeatus aculeatus (three-spined stickleback)
Lineage: Eukaryota; Metazoa; Chordata; Actinopteri; Perciformes; Gasterosteidae
Source: Ensembl